UGGAAAUAUUCAAGUGAAGUACCUCACAACUGUACUUUAGUACAGUAGUUUUUUUAAUUUAAAAUGUGUUCUUGUAGGAGGUGGAACUGGAGCAGAGCGGUGUGCAGCUGCAGGACGUCCAGCAGGAGAGAGACUCGCUGCUACACCAGCUGCGUUCACAGAGCGACGGUCACCAGCGGAGCCUCGGCCGUCUGAACAGGAAACUACGGCAGCUCAGCAGGUCCAUGUGUGACUCUGAUCAGCUGACAGCAGAGCAGCUGAGAGCGCUGGCACACAUGGUGCAGGACACUGUGGACAAGAUCGACGGCAGAUUUCACGAACACACAGCGCUGCAGUGUGAGCACACACACACGCUUGAGGAGCUGAGGGCCGAACUGGAUAAAGCUCAGAGACACACACACAGACUGAGACAGAAGCUGGACCGGACCAGAGCCAGAGAGGGAGGACAGUGGUGCUUCAUACCUCCUGGACACACUGUGAGACUUUAAAAAUCGGUCAUGCUAAUUCUGGCUUUGGCUCGCUGCUCGUUGUGACUGAUGAGGCAGAGUUUACCUGAGGAAACCGAAACUGAAGAGCAGAACGUAGAAACUGUUUCAUAUUAUUGUCUCUGGAGACUUUGGUCAACAUCGUCCUUUCUGCAACAAAAAUAUUUCCACACAACUGACUACGUUUCUUUUUGCAACCAAAUGUUUUUUCCUGUGUUUCCUGCUGUUCAGGCUCCCAGUCUGGGCUCUCUGGGAACUCAGGACUCCGGGUUGGGGCUGCAGUACCUCAGACCUCCCGCAAGAGGAGGGUACUGUGUCUACUUCCCCCCGACACACAGCGACUCUGACACAGCAGCAGCAGCAGAGUGGAGGGACAGCGGAGGAGGAAGUGACGCUGACCGGAGCUCCAGAGGACGGACUCCUCCUGUUCCUCCUGCCCCAGCUGCAGCUGUCUCUGCUGGACUCGCUGACGGUCAGACUCCGCUGGUUGGACCCGCCUGGCUGCUCUGUGGCUCACCUGCAGGAGGCGCUGCGCUGCACUGUAACAUCCCAGAACACAGAGACACGGUGAGAAUCAGGCUUUUAAACCGGGAACCACAGAGACCUGAGAAGAGUGGGAAAACAUCUUCCAGGUCUGAUCUAAAUAGUUUUCUCUCCUGUGAGUAUGACUUAAAAUAUAGUAAAAAUAAUAAAGUCCUUUUUCAGAAAUCGUGCAAAUAGGUAAAAACAAUGUUUUGGCAGCUGAUU
RNAcentral lists this long non-coding RNA (1232 nucleotides) under Cottoperca gobio. RNAcentral describes it as "lncRNA (ENSCGOG00000003886.1)". The record is from RNAcentral. Lineage: Eukaryota; Metazoa; Chordata; Actinopteri; Perciformes; Bovichtidae.